UUUAUCAAAAACAUUACCUCCAGUACCAAAUUGGAAGGCUAAUCCUGCCCGGUGGCCCCCCGGGGCUAAACGGCCGCAGUAUACCUGACUGUGCAAAGGUAGCAUUACUCCUUGCCUUUUAAUUGAUGGCCUGCAUGAAUGGAUCUACGAGGCUUGGACUUUAUCCCCUCUAUGCCCCGAAAUUAAUAUCUAGGUGAAAACGCCUAGAUACACCUGAAAGACAAAAAGACCCUAUUGAGCUUUACUAGACGGUAUUCUUAUUGUACCUACCAGUUUAGUUGGGGCAACUAUAGAUCAACCUAGCAUCACUGCUUCCCUCAGACCCUAAGUCACUUUCACGACCCUCCAGGAUCAUAAGAAAUAGUUACCAUAGGGGUAACAGGCUAAUUUCUUUUAAGAGCACAAAUUGACAAAGAAGUUUGGCACCUCGAUGUUGGCUCAGGGAUUCCUCUUGGUAGCAGAAGCCAUCAGGUAGGAUUGUUCAUCCUUUAAAACCCUACGUGAUCUGAGUUC
This 513-nucleotide ribosomal RNA is filed under the name Megalomma sp. MC-2010. RNAcentral describes it as "partial 16S ribosomal RNA". It matches the Rfam family "Bacterial large subunit ribosomal RNA", at positions 1803 to 2612 of the family's 2925-position model. Lineage: Eukaryota; Metazoa; Annelida; Polychaeta; Sabellida; Sabellidae. The record is from RNAcentral.